CCCAGAGACCCUUUGCUGCAGUUAGUCUCCCUCCAGAAGGCGUCUGGCUGCUGGCUGCUUGAUGCAGCUCUGGCUGCUGCACUGGGAAAGACCAACGAGGAGGUGGAAAAGUCAAAGCCUGAAAAGGCCAGCAGUGAAGUGUGGGCCACCAUUCUGGCUCUGAUCUGGCUUCAUGGUUUCAAGAUGGAUGCAAAGGACGAGUGGGAGCUUCUGGCUGCAAAGGCUGUAUCAUGGCUCAGUGCGCAAAAAGCACCAUCUGUGACCGAGUGUGUGGAAGCCAGAAAUAUAUUGUUGGGUUGCAGUGUGCAAAAAAACUGCCCUUGGCCUCUGAGGUUUUUAUUAAGCUAACAACGUCUUUACGAUUCAUGCACAGAAGCAGAUUUACUUCAUCCUUCAUCCACAUUAAUCUUUGCAUCGUCCAACUUUAUUAUCUAAUGUGCCUUAUUUUAUGCUGCAUGUGUCCAAAGUCAGCUU
Molecule: long non-coding RNA, 474 nt
Organism: Pelmatolapia mariae (spotted tilapia)
Lineage: Eukaryota; Metazoa; Chordata; Actinopteri; Cichliformes; Cichlidae
Exons: 3
Source: RefSeq, a predicted model, not a curated record